CCUACGGGUGGCAGCAGUGGGGAAUAUUGGACAAUGGGCGAAAGCCUGAUCCAGCCAUGCCGCGUGUGUGAAGAAGGCCUUCGGGUUGUAAAGCACUUUCAGUGGGGAAGAAAGCCUUGGGGCUAAUACCCUCGAGGAAGGACAUCACCCACAGAAGAAGCACCGGCUAACUCCGUGCCAGCAGCCGCGGUAAUACGGAGGGUGCGAGCGUUAAUCGGAAUUACUGGCGUAAAGCGCGCGUAGGCGGUCUGAUAAGCCGGUUGUGAAAGCCCCGGGCUCAACCUGGGAACGGCAUCCGGAACUGUCAGGCUAGAGUGCAGGAGAGGAAGGUAGAAUUCCCGGUGUAGCGGUGAAAUGCGUAGAGAUCGGGAGGAAUACCAGUGGCGAAGGCGGCCUUCUGGACUGACACUGACGCUGAGGUGCGAAAGCGUGGGUAGCAAACAGGAUUAGAUACCCCGGUAGUC
This 464-nucleotide ribosomal RNA is filed under the name Vreelandella stevensii. RNAcentral describes it as "partial 16S ribosomal RNA". It matches the Rfam family "Bacterial small subunit ribosomal RNA", at positions 338 to 795 of the family's 1533-position model. The record is from RNAcentral. Lineage: Bacteria; Pseudomonadati; Pseudomonadota; Gammaproteobacteria; Oceanospirillales; Halomonadaceae.